RNAcentral lists this transfer RNA (70 nucleotides) under Oreolalax xiangchengensis (Xiangcheng lazy toad). RNAcentral describes it as "tRNA-Ala". It matches the Rfam family "tRNA". From Rfam's summary of the family: Transfer RNA (tRNA) molecules are approximately 80 nucleotides in length. Their secondary structure includes four short double-helical elements and three loops (D, anti-codon, and T loops). Lineage: Eukaryota; Metazoa; Chordata; Amphibia; Anura; Megophryidae. The record is from RNAcentral.
AAGGCUUUAGCUUAAUUAAAAGUAUCUGGUUUGCAUCCAGGGGACGUGGGGUAAUAUCCUGCAAGUCUUA